CCUACGGGGGGCUGCAGUAGGGAAUCUUCCACAAUGGGCGAAAGCCUGAUGGAGCAACGCCGCGUGGGUGAAGAAGGUCUUCGGAUCGUAAAACCCUGUUGUUAGAGAAGAAAGUGCGUGAGAGUAACUGUUCACGUUUCGACGGUAUCUAACCAGAAAGCCACGGCUAACUACGUGCCAGCAGCCGCGGUAAUACGUAGGUGGCAAGCGUUAUCCGGAUUUAUUGGGCGUAAAGGGAACGCAGGCGGUCUUUUAAGUUUGAUGUGAAAGCCGUCGGCUUAACCGGAGUAGUGCAUUGGAAACUGGGGGACUUGAGUGCGGAAGAGGAGAGUGGAACUCGAUGUGUAGCGGUGAAAUGCAUAGAUAUAUGGAAGAACCCCGAUGGCGAAAGCAGCUCUCUGGUCUAUAACUGACGCUCAGGUUCGAAAGCGUGGGUAGCGAACAGGAUUAGAUACCCGGGUAGUC
RNAcentral lists this ribosomal RNA (465 nucleotides) under uncultured bacterium. RNAcentral describes it as "partial 16S ribosomal RNA". It matches the Rfam family "Bacterial small subunit ribosomal RNA", at positions 338 to 795 of the family's 1533-position model. The record is from RNAcentral.